RNAcentral lists this long non-coding RNA (1450 nucleotides) under Sinocyclocheilus anshuiensis. RNAcentral describes it as "lncRNA (ENSSANG00000006648.1)". The record is from RNAcentral. Lineage: Eukaryota; Metazoa; Chordata; Actinopteri; Cypriniformes; Cyprinidae.
GACGACUGAGAGGAACGCAGCAGUGCGUGCGGACUAAAUUCAUCAUGUUUCAUCUACAGAAUAUCGUUGCCUUCAUAAUAAUCUCUGCCUCUAUUUGUCAGGCUCAAGCCGGUGGUCAACAGGCAUCUUCAGAUACAGCUAAAGUCACAUUACAGCCGUGGCUGGUGGGACUCACAGCAGUUGUUGUUUUUCUCUUUAUUGUCUUCGUCCUCCUCAUCGUGCAAAGACUCUUUUUCAAGAAAGACAAAGAUGAGCUAGAAGAAAGGCAUUCAUUUUAUGAAAACAAAGCAGCUGAUCUGGAGGCAAAUGAGGAGACCAAGCAGACCACUUUCUAAUGAGAAGAACAGAUGAUCACAGUCCUGCAGCACACAACUCUUUCUCUCUCUGGAAAUUAUGCCACAACUUUGUGCAGAGUAAUUAUAAUACUAUCUUAUGUAAUAUAUAUUUUUAACGUUAAUUUUGGUCUUUUUGUUUUAGUCUUCAUAAGUGUUGUUCCUCACAUCAUCCACUAGAUGGAGCAGACUUCACCUAGUCACAGCUUUAAACUAAAGUUAAAAUAAAAAAAGGUUCAAAUAAAGUGGUGCUCUCUCUCUCUCUCUCUCUCUCUCUCUCUUUUAAUUAAUUUAGAUUUUUUUUGGCAUAUUCUCAAUACACGUUUUACUACUUUGCUGUUAGGGUAGUGAGAACAUUGGAAUAGAAGAGCACACGCUCAGUGAUUCACAUCAUGCACAUAAUGCUCUGAUUAACUGGCUUUUGACUCAUAUGACAUGUCUGGGUUCUGCAUGCAUAUAUGCUAAAUGGACAUGGGUAUGAGAUCCACUACUCAUUUUGACUGGCAGUUUGGACAUGUUAAAUGCUUCCAGUCAAAUGAUGUAACACAGUUUUACUUUUGAAACCAUUUGCUCGUCUCGGGGGAUUGAUUAUAUGAUGAAAAUAUCAUUUGCAGAAAAAAUGGCCAGGUGUCCAAAUGUGUUAAUGAUGGAGACCAUUAUAGUACAGCGUUAAAGCUGGCGUUGCCUAAAUGAACAAUCUGAUUAGUAAGACUAUUGAGCUGUUAGUGAUGAUGUAAUAAACUCCCAAACGCAUGCUUUUUAUAUGGGUUAAAGGGAAACGCUUCCAGUUUUACACUCUUAAUGUGAACUUAAGAACUGCUGGUAUUUCGUAACAUUUUAAUUAGACAGCUGAUACUGUUGCCCUGGCUGCAUGUGCUUCUCAAGGUUUCCCAUACAUGGGAAACAGUUUAGCUGAAACAGUGCUGAUGAGUGACAGUAACUAAGCCUACAGUCAGCAGCAAUAAGUGAAGCAUGAAACCAGAGAGAGAGAGAGAGAGAGAGAGAGAGAGAGAGAGAGUGAGAGAGAGGGAGAGAGAGAGAGACUUCUUUCUUCUCUUUCUCAUUCACCACUGCUGCCUUGGAAUUUUUAUUUGGUUGUUUUUAUUCUGGUUCCUGAG